Molecule: long non-coding RNA, 3465 nt
Organism: Chenopodium quinoa (quinoa)
Lineage: Eukaryota; Viridiplantae; Streptophyta; Magnoliopsida; Caryophyllales; Amaranthaceae
Exons: 4
Source: RefSeq, a predicted model, not a curated record
UGUAUUGGAGAGGCCAGCUGUUCUUCAUGGCUUUUGUUGCAGUGACAGCUGGGGUAUAUUGUUCUUGCAAGAGUUGCUUUUCUUCUCUCUCUCUUAACUCUUAAGUCUUCUUCCUUCUUCUCCUCUCACUAUAUUUCUCUCUCCUCCCGUUUCUCCUCUACCCGCUCUCAUUCUCUAUCUCCUCCAUUGGAGCAGUUUCUGAGCUACAAAACCAUAAAAUUUAUGAUUUAAUUUUGUUUAUUUUUUGUGUUCAUCUCUUCAAUUAGAUUUUCCUUUUAUUUGACUGAUUAAAUUAUUGUUUAUUUCUGGGUUUUUUCCGCAGUUGAAUUCUUUGGGUGGUUACAGAAAUUCUUCCCCUUUUCUAUGAUCUAGAUUGUUGUUUUUAAUUUUUUUUUUUCAUUUUCUGCGUUUUUGUUGUUUUAAUUAGUAAGGAUUUGGGAGAUUGAUGAUUUUCAUCAGUUUUUUUUCCUUCGUAAUGCAGGUUUAGGUGAUGGUAAUUUGUGCGUGAAAAAUUAAAACAACAAAACGCCCCCAUUUGCGGCUCCCUUCCCUACAACAAAGGCCUCCUCCGAGCAGGUACCCAAAAUCAGUAAUUGGUACUAUUCACAAGCUAUUGGUGCCAUUUACAUAGAUACCCAAAAUCAGUAAUUGGUACUUGAUUUAUCUGUUUAUUUGUUUGAAGAAUUCUUUGGUUAAUUAUGGUUUGUUGAUUAAGGAAUUAUGGGUAUGUAUUAAGGAAUAAUGGGUUAAUUAUGCUGAAAUUUUGUUAAUGGCAUUUGGCAGAGUUGAAUUUAAUUUGAAUAUGAAAGCAAUUGAUUAACACUUACCCAGCAUAAAUUAUUUGCUUAGGAAUUAUUUUGUGGGUAUUAUGGUAGUGUGUGGGAUCGUUGUGGUGUGGUAGUGUGUGGGAUCGUUGUGCGGUGCUUGUGAGUUAGUUGUUGUGGUGCGAUCGUUAUUAUGUUCUUCUUCUUGAGUAUCACUUUUCCGUGCUUGUUGCUGCUGCAAGGGUUGUUUAAUUUGUUUUGUUUGGGGCUGCUGUGCUUCCUUCCUAAUUGAGUACUUGUGUGUGUGUUCUUGAUAUAUUGAUAACUAAUUCAAUGACUCUAGCUUACUAGCUUGCUACUAAGGUUUAUCUUCAUUCCCAUGGUUUCCUUUAUUCUAAUCAUUUUAGAAUUGAGAAUUUCUCAAUUUAAUUUGAUAAAAAAUUGGGGGUUUCUAAUUUAGUUGAGUUCGUUUAAAAUUGUGGGGAUUUUUCGAUUCAAUUCAAUACGUUUUAAAAUUGUAGUUUUCCGGUUUAAUUCAAUUAGUUCAUAAUUUUGGGGUGCUUUCGAUGCAAUUUGGUAAAAAAAUAGAGAUUUGAUUUCUCAGCAUUCUAAAGUUAGCAUAAAUAAGCUAUUUGCACUGCUUCCUUUCCUGCGAAGAAGGAAAGGCUUUUGAACCCUGUUCCAAGCUGGAAGACCUGAAUUUGGAGGUUAGACAGAACUCUGGAUUGAUGGAAAAGAGGUAUCUACUCCACUCUUACUAAUUUAGACCUUAGAAGUUUGGUGUGUCGGACUAAGGGAAUUUUGUAAUUCAGCGAAAGCUUGAGUCUAUUACUUAUAACCUGUAAGCCUGCCGUCAGCAGCUUAUAAUUUCAUAUCUUAUGAGUUCCGAUCCCGCUGUCCCACUGCCAGAUUUUAGUUUUCAUAGUAUCUUCUGGGUUACAAAAGAUUUUUUGCUUGGUUUUUCUAAUUCACUCUAGCAGUUAAUAAUUUUGUACCAUUUGUUGCACUUGUGUAUUAACCAAUGGUUAGAUUUGAUAUAGGAGGCAGUUUGGGUGUUAUUUAUUUUUUCAGGCACAACUAGGAUUUAUAAUGCAUGCCAUGGUAGGAUGGAAGGAACACAUAAAUAUAUAGUGAUAAUUGAUAAACAUGUCAACUGCUUGAACACAGGUCAAUUGGGAAUUAUUCCGGAUGACCUAGAGUCAUUAAUAGCAUGAGAGUUCAAGGAGUUACUAAUGUCAUGCAUAGACAAUUCACCAUCUAUAUUAUCUUAUUUGAAAGGCUUUUUGAGAUUCUGGAAUUUGAUUUUAAGUUUUCAAGCUUUUGCAAGUUUCAGCAUGCUGAAAAGCAGGGCUAGGUCAACAUUAAAGCAGAGGCAUAUGGACCUUGCAGUGCUACUUUAUGUGGUACUUUUAUAUGCAACAUUUGGGACAAGUUGUAUUCUUUUGCUUCUCAAUUCUAUAAUUUAGUCUUCAGUAUUUUUUAUUUCCUUGAAUAGGAGUGAGUUGGAUUUUUUGCCCUCCUUCAGAAUUAUUGCGUUUAAAGGGGUGCUACUUGCUGCUCAAUGAACUUUUUCUCCAAUACCAUAGCUCCCCUAGAUCCUUGCGUACCAAUUGCAUGUCCUAGAAGAUUCUGACUAAUUAUUUUGACGUUCAAUUUGGCUUAUAUGGCUUUAGGUUUGCUAGAUAAUUUGCUCUGACAAGCAGAGGAGCCAAGAACCCUCGCGUUACCAUCUUGGAACUGUUGCUCUUCGAACAUUUGAUGAGGGAAAUUGCCGUAGAAACGGAUAGACAAUGGAUCUCAAAAAGGUUGCAAGAUAAUUUGCUCUGACAAGCAGAGGAGUCAAGAGCCCUCUCGUAACCAUCUUGGAACUGUUGCUCUUGGUCUUCGGUAAAUUUUCAUUUAAAAAAAAGAUGACUAAUAUUUCUUUUAUUAAAAGAUUGUAUGAUUUCAAAAUUGAACUAAUUGUUUUGAAUUAUCUUUAAUGAUUAAACCUUUAUAACGCACUCUUGAUUCAAAAUGGACAGCCAUGUAUUACUUUAUUAUAAAUUAUUAGCAGAGUGCCCAACGAUCCGUAUAGUUUCUUUUGUAGUUUAUGUAAUUGUGAACUUGAAAUUCUGUAUUAUACUAUUAUUACACUUUAUGCUUUUGAUUAGGGAUCAAUAAGUGUGGUAACAGAUAAAACAAUGAGGUAUGCUUGCAAAAACAAGAAAACUAUCUCAGUAUUGAUCUAAGCUUGUAACAUACUAUUUUGUAUUAACUUUGUGGCAAAAGUUAUAUGAUGACACUACAAUUGUAAUAUCAAGAAUUCCUUUUCAACUAAAAUAUUUGGUAUUGGUUAAUUUGAGUUCUGGUCUGACUCUUUCAGGUUAAUACUCUAAGGUAGCAACUGCAGCUCAUUGCAUCAAGCAUAUAGCGAUGACAAUUAUGACUUCAAAUAAUAUUGAGCUUCAUAGCUUUUUAACUUAUUCUUUUACACAUUUUGAGAUUCUUCUAAUGUCGAGAAUUUUCUAGGCCCGGAAUUCUAUAUUCUUUGUAAAUUAUCUUCUGAUCAUGUGCUCUAUAUAGCUUGGUUUGAUUCUUGUCCAACUGGUUGUGUUAAUAUGUUCUUUUGGAUACAUGUAUAAUCUAUGAAUAUAAUCAAUUUGUUUUGUUUCGGAUAAUUUGGAGUGGAAGUUGCAUGUUAAAUUGUUAAUUGGUUGUA